Molecule: ribosomal RNA, 254 nt
Filed under: uncultured bacterium
Lineage: Bacteria
Description: partial 16S ribosomal RNA
Rfam family: Bacterial small subunit ribosomal RNA
Source: RNAcentral
UACGUAGGGUGCGAGCGUUGUCCGGAAUUAUUGGGCGUAAAGGGCUCGUAGGCGGUUUGUCGCGUCGGCCGUGAAAACCUGGGGCUCAACUCUGGGCGUGCGGUCGAUACGGGCAUCACUUGAGUUCGGCAGGGGAGACUGGAAUUCCUGGUGUAGCGGUGAAAUGCGCAGAUAUCAGGAGGAACACCGGUGGCGAAGGCGGCUUCCUGGUCUGUAACUGACACUGAGGCGCGAAAGCGUGGGGAGCAAACAGG